GAUGAACGCUGGCGGCGCGCCUAACACAUGCAAGUCGAACGGCACCCCUCUCCGGAGGGAAGCGAGUGGCGAACGGCUGAGUAACACGUGGAGAACCUGCCCCCUCCCCCGGGAUAGCCGCCCGAAAGGACGGGUAAUGCCGGAUACCCCGGGGUGCCGCAUGGCACCCCGGCUAAAGCCCCGACGGGAGGGGAUGGCUCCGCGGCCCAUCAGGUAGACGGCGGGGUGACGGCCCACCGUGCCGACAACGGGUAGCCGGGUUGGGAGACCGACCGGCCAGAUUGGGACUGAGACACGGCCCAGACUCCUACGGGAGGCAGCAGUGGGGAAUCUUGCGCAAUGGGGGGAACCCUGACGCAGCGACGCCGCGUGCGGGACGGAGGCCUUCGGGUCGUAAACCGCUUUCAGCAGGGAAGAGUCAAGACUGUAC
Molecule: ribosomal RNA, 430 nt
Filed under: uncultured bacterium
Lineage: Bacteria
Description: bacterial SSU rRNA
Rfam family: Bacterial small subunit ribosomal RNA
Source: RNAcentral